Molecule: ribosomal RNA, 485 nt
Filed under: uncultured bacterium
Lineage: Bacteria
Description: partial 16S ribosomal RNA
Rfam family: Bacterial small subunit ribosomal RNA
Source: RNAcentral
GACGAACGCUGGCGGCGUGCCUAACACAUGCAAGUCGGGCGGAGGAUUUGGCCUUCGGGUUGAAUCUUUAGCGGCGGACGGGUGAGUAACGCGUGAGGAAUCUAUCUUUUGCUGGGGGAUAACAGGGAGAAAUCCUUGCUAAUACCGCAUAGGACCACACCUGCAGAAGCAGGAGGGGUGAAAGGAGCAAUCCGGCAAGAGGGGAUCUCGCGUCCCAUUAGCUAGUUGGUGGGGUAAAGGCCUACCAAGGCGAUGAUGGGUAGCCGACCUGAGAGGGUGAUCGGCCACACUGGAACUGAGAAACGGUCCAGACUCCUACGGGAGGCAGCAGUGGGGAAUAUUGGGCAAUGGGGGAAACCCUGACCCAGCAACGCCGCGUGAGGGAAGAAGGUUUUCGGAUUGUAAACCUCUGUCUUAUGGGAAGAAAUAAAUGACGGUACCAUGGGAGGAAGCCCCGGCUAACUACGUGCCAGCCGCCGCAGUAA